This 254-nucleotide ribosomal RNA is filed under the name uncultured bacterium. RNAcentral describes it as "partial 16S ribosomal RNA". It matches the Rfam family "Bacterial small subunit ribosomal RNA", at positions 524 to 776 of the family's 1533-position model. The record is from RNAcentral.
UACGUAGGGUGCGAGCGUUAAUCGGAAUUACUGGGCGUAAAGCGUGCGCAGGCGGUUGUGCAAGACAGGUGUGAAAUCCCCGGGCUUAACCUGGGAACUGCGCUUGUGACUGCACGACUAGAGUACGGUAGAGGGGGGUGGAAUUCCUGGUGUAGCAGUGAAAUGCGUAGAUAUCAGGAGGAACAUCGAUGGCGAAGGCAGCCCCCUGGACCUGUACUGACGCUCAUGACACGAAAGCGUGGGGAGCAAACAGG